AUUAGUAAAAGGAAAAAGGUGGUGAACCGCUUUAAUGAUCCAUCUAAGGAUGAGUUUGUCUUUCUCCUGAGCAGCAAGGCUGGUGGUUGUGGCCUCAAUUUGAUAGGUGGGAAUCGACUGGUCUUAUUUGACCCUGAUUGGAAUCCUGCCAAUGACAAACAAGCUGCUGCAAGAGUCUGGAGAGAUGGA
Non-coding RNA from Camellia sinensis, 189 nucleotides. The record is from RefSeq and is a predicted model, not a curated record. Lineage: Eukaryota; Viridiplantae; Streptophyta; Magnoliopsida; Ericales; Theaceae.